Molecule: ribosomal RNA, 826 nt
Filed under: Salmonella enterica subsp. enterica
Lineage: Bacteria; Pseudomonadati; Pseudomonadota; Gammaproteobacteria; Enterobacterales; Enterobacteriaceae
Description: partial 23S ribosomal RNA
Rfam family: Bacterial large subunit ribosomal RNA
Source: RNAcentral
GGGUGACAGCCCCGUACACAAAAGCGCAUGUGCUGUGAGCUCGAUGAGUAGGGCGGGACACGUGGUAUCCUGUCUGAAUAUGGGGGGACCAUCCUCCAAGGCUAAAUACUCCUGACUGACCGAUAGUGAACCAGUACCGUGAGGGAAAGGCGAAAAGAACCCCGGCGAGGGGAGUGAAAAAGAACCUGAAACCGUGUACGUACAAGCAGUGGGAGCACAGGUUUACCUGUGUGACUGCGUACCUUUUGUAUAAUGGGUCAGCGACUUAUAUUCUGUAGCAAGGUUAACCGAAUAGGGGAGCCGGAGGGAAACCGAGUCUUAAUUGGGCGUUAAGUUGCAGGGUAUAGACCCGAAACCCGGUGAUCUAGCCAUGGGCAGGUUGAAGGUUGGGUAACACUAACUGGAGGACCGAACCGACUAAUGUUGAAAAAUUAGCGGAUGACCUGUGGCUGGGGGUGAAAGGCCAAUCAAACCGGGAGAUAGCUGGUUCUCCCCGAAAGCUAUUUAGGUAGCGCCUCGUGAAUUCAUCUCCGGGGGUAGAGCACUGUUUCGGCUAGGGGGCCAUCCCGGCUUACCAACCCGAUGCAAACUGCGAAUACCGGAGAAUGUUAUCACGGGAGACACACGGCGGGUGCUAACGUCCGUCGUGAAGAGGGAAACAACCCAGACCGCCAGCUAAGGUCCCAAAGUCAUGGUUAAGUGGGAAACGAUGUGGGAAGGCCCAGACAGCCAGGAUGUUGGCUUAGAAGCAGCCAUCAUUUAAAGAAAGCGUAAUAGCUCACUGGUCGAGUCGGCCUGCGCGGAAGAUGUAACGGGGCUAAACCAU